Molecule: ribosomal RNA, 277 nt
Filed under: uncultured prokaryote
Description: partial 16S ribosomal RNA
Rfam family: Bacterial small subunit ribosomal RNA
Source: RNAcentral
UACGGAGGAUCCGAGCGUUAUCCGGAUUUAUUGGGUUUAAAGGGUGCGCAGGCGGGGGAUUAAGUCGGCGGUGAAAUUUUGUAGCUCAACUGUAAAAGUGCCUUCGAAACUGGUUUCCUUGAGUGUAGAUGAAGUAGGCGGAAUUUGUGGUGUAGCGGUGAAAUGCAUAGAUAUCACGAGGAACUCCGAUUGCGCAGGCAGCUUACUAAACUACUACUGACGCUCAGGCACGAAGGCGUGGGGAUCAAACAGGAUUAGAUACCCCGGUAGUCCCUGA